UUCUUAUCAAGAGAAGCCGAGGGACUGGUCCGUUGACGCUUCAGCAACCUCUACAUGAAGUAGAAAGGUGCUAAUUCCAGCAAGCAUAGUCUUGAGAGAUAAGAG
This 105-nucleotide non-coding RNA is filed under the name Bacillus sp. (in: firmicutes). RNAcentral's name for it is "Bacillus sp. SAM-I sequence". It matches the Rfam family "SAM riboswitch aptamer (S box leader)". Rfam says of the family: The SAM riboswitch is found upstream of a number of genes which code for proteins involved in methionine or cysteine biosynthesis in Gram-positive bacteria. The record is from RNAcentral. Lineage: Bacteria; Bacillati; Bacillota; Bacilli; Caryophanales; Bacillaceae.